This is a long non-coding RNA of Anopheles arabiensis, 1425 nucleotides long. RefSeq lists it as uncharacterized. The record is from RefSeq and is a predicted model, not a curated record. The transcript is spliced from 2 exons. NCBI's taxonomy places the organism in Eukaryota, Metazoa, Arthropoda, Insecta, Diptera, Culicidae.
UAGUAAGCGGUCGGGUAAAGCGAGCUGUUUGUUGCGUCUAGGUUUGGUUCUGUGUAGAACGGUCGUUUAAGGGACAAUAAAGCGUAUGAAAGUGGGGAAAUUUUCAACUAAAAGGAAGGGAAGAAAAGAGUAAAGAACAUUUAAGAAUAGAAACUGUCUAUAUUAACCAUUUACAGUAGUACAGUCAAACGAUUAGUAUGAACCACGUGGUCUUGAGUUUAAUGGAGACGCCUGGUCGCUCAAUAUAUUAAACGAAAAUACUUAUUAAAUUUAAAGUACUAGGUUAUUAUAAUUAAAGCACAUGCAAUAGUUAAAUCUCUUCAAAAAAAAAACCCCUCUCCCUUCACGUCUAAUGUUGCAUCAAAUCACCUACCCCUCUAGCAAUUAAAAGUGUCCACCAACCCGCGCAUGGAGUAUGUUCGCGAUGCACGAAACGUGCCAUCCGUCAAAUUGUGGACGCUCAAUUACAAACCAUUUCUCAACGUCCACCGAAACUCUUCCGUGCAGUGUCGUCGGCCCAAAGGCCCGUUGUACCUGGUGCAGUGAAAAUUGACAUUUCCUUCCUGCCCAAGCGUUCGCAUUCGCACACCUGGCGCCAGUCGAUCCGGGCGAGCCGGGAACGGGACGGAGCAUUGGAGCAAGUGAGCGGCAAGAUGUUCUGCACCGACAGCAACUGCAACUGCUCUAGCAGCUUAAUUAAUGUCAGUCGAGUGCCAUCUGUCAAGUGUCCUGCAGAGGGGGAUUGAGUAGUGGAGAGUGCGGUGUGUGUGUGCGGUGAGCGCUGGCCUGGAGGAAUAGUUGGAACAUGGUGUUGGAAUGACGCCGUACCACCUUCGCUGAACGAUUGGGCUCCGCAGCACACCCGGAGCGGUUUGUUCCCGAGAAUGAGGCCAAUUAUGGUGCGAGAAGCAUUCAUCAUCCCAUCCCUUUCUCUGCUUCGUGCAACAACUAAACCCGCAAAGUUGGAAAAGUUCCACUGCAAUGGUGCACAGACACGAGCACAAACACACUUUCUGGGAACGGCGCGCAACACAGCGACCGUUUCCGGAACGGAGCAACUCUUAACAUUAUCCAUCCCCCCCUCUCGAGGGUACUGCGGGCGUCCGCGCACAAUCUUCGCAAGAAUUGGUGUCCGAUUAACAAGAACGAAGCCCCACCCGCCCAUAAUUGUACGGGAGGCGCCACGUAUUUGAAAUCGAAUUUUCCACCAGAAUGCGGCGAAGUAACAGCGUGUGUGUGAUCGACGAAAUGAAAAGGAAAUACCGAAUCAUCAUCUUCAACUUUAAAUCUUUUCAGUUUUUAUUUGCUCUCUGCUCUCUGCUGUCAGACAGAAGAAUCGAAUCUACCUAACCCCUAGAUCUAUGUGUAAUCUUUUUACGCCAAUAAUGUUAUUAAUUGGUACGAUAAUAAAAAUAGUAUAAUAUA